Molecule: ribosomal RNA, 2718 nt
Filed under: Brevibacillus borstelensis
Lineage: Bacteria; Bacillati; Bacillota; Bacilli; Caryophanales; Paenibacillaceae
Description: bacterial LSU rRNA
Rfam family: Bacterial large subunit ribosomal RNA
Source: RNAcentral
GCACGGGAUUUCCGUGUCCCGGUGUGAAUCUGGCCAGGACCAUCUGCUAAGGGCUAAAUUACUACCUAGCGACCGAUAGUGAACCAGUACCGUGAGGGAAAGGGUGAAAAGCACCCCGGGAGGGGAGUGAAAUAGUACCUGAAACCGUGUGCUUACAAAUAGUCGGAGCCCUAUACCACCCACAAAAGUUAUACUUUUGCGGGGCCCUUAAAUGGGUUGACGGCGUGCCUUUUGUAGAAUGAACCGGCGAGUUACGGUAGCGUGCGAGGUUAAGUCGAAGAGACGGAGAGCCGCAGCGAAAGCGAGUCUGAAUAGGGCGCAAGUACGUUGCCGUAGACCCGAAACCGUGUGUCUAGCCAUGUCCAGGGUGGAAGGUAGGGUAACACCUUACUGGAGGGCCGGAACCCCACGCACGUUGAAAAGUGCGGGGGAUGAGGGUGUGGGCUAGCCGGUGAAAAUUCCCAAUCGAAACUCGGGAGAUAGCUGGUUCUCGGGGAUGAGGUGUGGCUAGCGGUGAAAUUCCAAUCGAACUCGGAGAUAGCUGGUUCUCCCGCGAAUAGCUUUAGGGGCCUAGCCUCGGAAAUGAAGAGUCUUGGAGGUAGAGCGCUCUUGAUUUUGGGGCUUGGGGCCCUCAUCGGGUUACCGAACUCAGGAAAACUCCGAAUGCCAAAUGACUUAUGUCCGGGAGUCAGACGAUGAGUGCUAAGAUCCAUCGUCAAAAGGGAAAAGCCCAGACCAUCAGCUAAGGUUCCCCCAAGUGUUAUGUUAAGUGGGAAACGAAUGUGGAGUUGCCCCAAGACAACCCAAGGAUGUUGGUUAUAUGAAGCAGCCCACCAUUUAAUGAGGGCGUAAUAGCUUAACUGGUCGUGUCACUCUGCGCGGAAAAAUGUAACGGGGCUAAACAUACCACCGAAGCUAUGGCAGGUCCUUACGGACUGGGUAGGGGAGCGUUCCAACAGCAGUGAAGCCGGUACCGGGAGGGAGCGGUUGGAGCGGCUUGGAAGUGAGAAUGCCGGUGUAAGUAGCGAAAAGACAAGUGAGAAUCUUGUCCACCGAAAGCCUGUGAAGAAUGCCGGUGUAAGUAGCGAAAAAGACAAGUGAGAAUCUUGUCCACCGGAAAGCCUAAGGUUUCCUGGGGAAGGCUCGUCCUCCCAGGGGUAAGGUCGGGACCUAAGCUGGAGGCCGAAAGGCGUAGGCGAUGGACAACAGGUUGAUAUUUUCCUGUACCACCUCUGUUCCGCUUGAGCAAUGGCGUGACGCAGGAGGAUAGGGUGAGCGGCCUACUGGAUGGCCGUCCAAGCGGUAAGCCUGGUGUGUAGGGCAAAUCCGCACACUGUUAAGGGCCAAGCUGUGAUGGCGAGGGAAACAUAAGUACCGAAGCCCUGAGAUUUCCACACUGCCAAGAAAAGCGUCUAGCGAGGAACAAGGUGCCCGUACCGCAAACCGACACAGGUAGGCGAGGAGAGAAUCCUAAGGUGCGCGGGAUAACUCUUGCUAAGGAACUCGGCAAAAUGGCCCCGUAACUUCGGGAGAAGGGGCGCCCCGGUAGGGUUUAUAGCCCGAGGGGGCCGCAGUGAAAAGGCCCAAGCGACUGUUUAGCAAAAACACAGGUCUCUGCGAAGCCGCAAGGCGAAGUAUAGGGGCUGACGCCUGCCCGGUGCUGGAAGGUUAAGGGGAUGGGUUAGCGCAAGCGAAGCUUUGAACCGAAGCCCCAGUAAACGGCGGCCGUAACAAUAACGGUCCUAAGGUAGCGAAAUUCCUUGUCGGGUAAGUUCCGACCCGCACGAAAGGCGUAACGACUUGGGCGCUGUCUCGGCAAGAGACCCGGUGAAAAUCAUAAUACCUGUGAAGAUGCAGGUUACCCGCGACAAGACGGAAAGACCCCAUGGAGCUUUACUGUAGCCUGGUAUUGGAACUUUGUGCAUCAUGUACAGGAUAGGUGGGAAGCUGAGAAGCAGGGGCGCCAGCCUCUGUGGAGCUGUCGGUGGGAUACCACCCUUGAUGUACGGAGUUUCUAACUCGUCGCCCUUAUCGGGCGAGAGGACCAUGCCAGGUGGGCAGUUUGACUGGGGCGGUCGCCUCCUAAAAGGUAACGGAGGCGCCCAAAGGUUCCCUCAGAAUGGUCGGAAAUCAUUCGUAGAGUGUAAAGGCAGAAGGGAGCUUGACUGCGAGACCUACAAGUCGAGCAGGGACGAAAGUCGGGCUUAGUGAUCCGGUGGUUCCGCAUGGAAGGGCCAUCGCUCAACGGAUAAAAGCUACCCUGGGGAUAACAGGCUUAUCUCCCCCAAGAGUCCACAUCGACGGGGAGGUUUGGCACCUCGAUGUCGGCUCAUCGCAUCCUGGGGCUGAAGUAGGUCCCAAGGGGUUGGGCUGUUCGCCCAUUAAAGCGGUACGCGAGCUGGGUUCAGAACGUCGUGAGACAGUUCGGUCCCUAUCUGUCGCGGGCGCAGGAAGUUUGAGGAGAGCUGUCCUUAGUACGAGAGGACCGGGAUGGACGCACCGCUGGUGCACCAGUUGUCACGCCAGUGGCACAGCUGGGUAGCUAUGUGCGGAAGGGAUAAGCGCUGAAAGCAUCUAAGCGUGAAGCCCCCUCCAAGAUGAGACUUCCCACAGCGUUAAGCUGGUAAGACCCCUCAUAGACGAUGAGGUUGAUAGGUUCGGUGUGGAAGCGCGGCAACGCGUGGAGCUGACGAAUACUAAUCGGUCGAGGACUUAUCC